RNAcentral lists this ribosomal RNA (452 nucleotides) under Acinetobacter parvus. RNAcentral describes it as "bacterial SSU rRNA". It matches the Rfam family "Bacterial small subunit ribosomal RNA", at positions 54 to 500 of the family's 1533-position model. The record is from RNAcentral. Lineage: Bacteria; Pseudomonadati; Pseudomonadota; Gammaproteobacteria; Moraxellales; Moraxellaceae.
CAUGCAAGUCGAGCGGGGAUUGGGUGCUUGCACCUAAUCUUAGCGGCGGACGGGUGAGUAAUGCUUAGGAAUCUGCCAUUUAGUGGGGGACAACAUUCCGAAAGGGAUGCUAAUACCGCAUACGCCCUACGGGGGAAAGCAGGGGAUCUUCGGACCUUGCGCUAAAUGAUGAGCCUAAGUCGGAUUAGCUAGUUGGUGGGGUAAAGGCCUACCAAGGCGACGAUCUGUAGCGGGUCUGAGAGGAUGAUCCGCCACACUGGGACUGAGACACGGCCCAGACUCCUACGGGAGGCAGCAGUGGGGAAUAUUGGACAAUGGGSGGAASCCUGAUCCAGCCAUGCCGCGUGUGUGAAGAAGGCCUUUUGGUUGUAAAGCACUUUAAGCGAGGAGGAGGCUACCUGGAUUAAUACUCUAGGAUAGUGGACGUUACUCGCAGAAUAAGCACCGGCUAA